RNAcentral lists this ribosomal RNA (289 nucleotides) under uncultured Actinomyces sp. RNAcentral describes it as "partial 16S ribosomal RNA". It matches the Rfam family "Bacterial small subunit ribosomal RNA", at positions 386 to 674 of the family's 1533-position model. Lineage: Bacteria; Bacillati; Actinomycetota; Actinomycetes; Actinomycetales; Actinomycetaceae. The record is from RNAcentral.
AUGCAGCGACGCCGCGUGAGGGAUGAAGGCCUUCGGGUUGUAAACCUUUUUCGCUCAUGGUCAAGCCGCAGCUUUGGGUUGUGGUGAGGGUAGUGGGUAAAGAAGCGCCGGCUAACUACGUGCCAGCAGCCGCGGUAAUACGUAGGGCGCGAGCGUUGUCCGGAAUUAUUGGGCGUAAAGGGCUUGUAGGCGGUUGGCCGCGUCUGCCGUGAAAUCCUCUGGCUUAACUGGGGGCGUGCGGUGGGUACGGGUUGACUUGAGUGCGGUAGGGGAGACUGGAAUUCCUGGU